CCAUACCCGGCAGGCCUAACACAUGCAAGUCGAGCGGAUGAAGGGAGCUUGCUCCUGGAUUCAGCGGCGGACGGGUGAGUAAUGCCUAGGAAUCUGGCUGGUAGUGGGGGAUAACGUCCGGAAACGGGCGCUAAUACCGCAUACGUCCUGAGGGAGAAAGUGGGGGAUCUUCGGACCUCACGCUAUCAGAUGAGCCUAGGCCGGAUUAGCUAGCUGGUGGGGGAAAGGCCUACCAAGGCGACGAUCCGUAACUGGUCUGACAGGAUGAUCAGUCACACUGGAACUGAGACACGACCCCACACUCCUACCCUAAGGCAGCAGUGGGGAUUAUUGUAUCAAUGGGGGAAAGCCUGCCCCCACCCCUGCCGACUCGUGUGUGAAGAAGGUCUUCGGAUUGUAAAGCACUUUAAGUUGGGAGGAAGGGCAGUAAGUUAAUACCUUGCUGUUUUGACGUUACCAACAGAAUAAGCACCGGCUAACUUCGUGCCAGCAGCCGCGGUAAUACGAAGGGUGCAAGCGUUAAUCGAAAUUACUGGGGCGUAAAGCGCGCGUAGGUGGUUCAGCAAGUUGGAUGUGAAAU
RNAcentral lists this ribosomal RNA (580 nucleotides) under Pseudomonas sp. RNAcentral describes it as "bacterial SSU rRNA". It matches the Rfam family "Bacterial small subunit ribosomal RNA", at positions 34 to 600 of the family's 1533-position model. The record is from RNAcentral. Lineage: Bacteria; Pseudomonadati; Pseudomonadota; Gammaproteobacteria; Pseudomonadales; Pseudomonadaceae.